AUUAAACGCUGGCGGCAUGCCUUACACAUGCAAGUCGAACGGCAGCACGGGGGCAACCCUGGUGGCGAGUGGCGAACGGGUGAGUAAAGCAUCGGAACGUGCCCUGGAGUGGGGGAUAACGUAGCGAAAGUUACGCUAAUACCGCAUAUUCUGUGAGCAGGAAAGCAGGGGAUCGCAAGACCUUGCGCUCUGGGAGCGGCCGAUGUCGGAUUAGCUAGUUGGUGGGGUAAAGGCCUACCAAGGCGACGAUCCGUACCGGGUCUGAGAGGAUGAUCCGCCACACUGGGACUGAGACACGGCCCAGACUCCUACGGGAGGCAGCAGUGGGGAAUUUUGGACAAUGGGCGAAAGCCUGAUCCAGCCAUGCCGCGUGAGUGAAGAAGGCCU
This 387-nucleotide ribosomal RNA is filed under the name uncultured bacterium. RNAcentral describes it as "bacterial SSU rRNA". It matches the Rfam family "Bacterial small subunit ribosomal RNA", at positions 29 to 417 of the family's 1533-position model. The record is from RNAcentral.